Molecule: ribosomal RNA, 256 nt
Filed under: uncultured bacterium
Lineage: Bacteria
Description: partial 16S ribosomal RNA
Rfam family: Bacterial small subunit ribosomal RNA
Source: RNAcentral
UACGGAGGGGGGCUAGCGUUGUUCGGAAUUACUGGGCGUAAAGCGUACGUAGGCGGCUUUGUAAGUUAGAGGUGAAAGCCCAGAGCUCAACUCUGGAAUUGCCUUUAAGACUGCAUCGCUUGAAUCGUGGAGAGGUUAGUGGAAUUCCGAGUGUAGAGGUGAAAAUUCGUUAGAUAUUCGGAAGAACACCAGUGGCGAAGGCGACUAACUGGACACGUAUUACGCUGAGGUACGAAAAGCGUGGGGAGCAAACAGG